GACGGAGGGGGCAAGCGUUGUCCGGACUCACUGGGCGUAAAGCGCCCGUAGGCGGUCUGAUGCGUCGGUGCUGAAAGCGCCCGGCUUAACCGGGCGAGGCGUGCCGAUACGAUCAGACUCGAGGCAGGCAGAGGGUGGCGGAAUUCCGGGUGUAGUGGUGAAAUGCGUAGAGAUCCGGAGGAACGCCUGUGGCGCAAGCGGCCACCUGGGCCUGUCCUGACGCUGAGGGGCGAAAGCGUGGGGAGCGAACCGGAUUAGAUACCCGGGUAGUCCACGCGGUAAACGAUGCCAGCUCGGUGGGUGGGACCGUUCGCGGUCCUGUCUGCCUUAGCUCACGCGGUAAGCUGGCCGCCUGGGGACUACGAGCGCAAGCUUAAA
This 378-nucleotide ribosomal RNA is filed under the name uncultured bacterium. RNAcentral's name for it is "bacterial SSU rRNA". It matches the Rfam family "Bacterial small subunit ribosomal RNA", at positions 524 to 898 of the family's 1533-position model. The record is from RNAcentral.